This is a non-coding RNA of Aegilops tauschii subsp. strangulata, 4370 nucleotides long. NCBI's taxonomy places the organism in Eukaryota, Viridiplantae, Streptophyta, Magnoliopsida, Poales, Poaceae. The record is from RefSeq and is a predicted model, not a curated record.
UCGUACGAGCGAUUCCUCCUGCCCCCGCCGCUCGCACGAACCAGGAGCGAGGCCCGCUCGCACAAAAAAGCCCGGCUAGGGUUCCACCCACCGCCGCCUCCCUGCCACAGGCGCUCCCUCUCUUCGCCGAUCCACCUACGACACGCUCCUCUUCUUUGAUGCGGCCUAACCGCGUCCCGUUCGCCCGCCCGGCCACCUGUCCGUGAGGGUUUCCGCGGCACCGCCGCCGCCGGCUGCCAUUCACGCCCACGCCGACGGAAAGGCCGUAGUCAAGCCGUGGGGCGGGGGCAUCGGCGACGGGGCUGAUGCGACGGACCUCCAUGCGCCCUCCAAACCGAAUGCCCUCUUGUCCACGUCUACAUCUGUCCGUUUAUCUCCUCUGAGUCAGAGUGCCCUCCGUCAGAACUCUUUGUCAGCGUGGCGGCCGGUGGCAGCGGCCAUCUACGAUCUGUUCAUGCGUUGCCCUGAUGGAGGCGGCCGUGCUCCAUAGCAAGGCGGAAAGGGAAACCAACUUCAACUUUGCGAGGAGAAGUUCCGCAUUUGAGAAGCCGGAGAAGAGUAUCUCACUAAGUACAGAUUCGAGGUAGGGAUAUCAUUUUCUCUCCAAUCCAUUUAUCAUGGGAUCAUUUCCCAGAAAAAGACAAACAUGAAGGUAGCUGUGGACAGACUAUAUUUGUUUACUUCUUCUACCCACAAGUUUCAUGUACUGGACAACUAUAUUACACAUAUCUUGUGUUAUGAAAGAUAAUAGUUGGUGAUUGAUAUGGCAAGUGUCUACGAGCUGCCUAAUAUAGCAUGCAUUUAACAGUUCUUUCGCAUUCAUAUCUCUGCCUUCUCAUAAUUCCAUGGAUUUUUACUAUAUUGCGUAUCCCAGUGACUUUGCCAACUUGCUGACAUGGGGUCCUGUUCAGAGCACAAGCUUCACCUGAAUAACCUUCUUUCAGUUAGUAAAACACUCAGCAAAGGUAAUUGGGCCUCCCUUAAUUUAUCUACCAUCUUGCUUGGUUUGCACUGCUUUCUGUGUCUUAGAUUCAACCUCUCCAAAAAUGGGUGAAGUGUCAACCGUAUUCUGUUGAUAAUUUUAUGAGAACACGUUUGUCUAAAAUGAUUUUUAUUCCCCAUAAGAACGCACGGGCAGCUCUUAAAGCUGAAAAACUACAGCUUUCAUGUAGCAUCUUAUGUGUCGCACUUCUCUCGAAUAUGCUGAAUAGGUUGGUGCAUCUCACCACCCACAAGCACACACAAAGGACGCAUCUGCACUGAAGUGAAUAAAGAAUAUCAACUUAUUUCAUUGCUUUUGUCCACAAGAAAUGCUAUUUAUUCUACUACUAAUAUACAUGUGGUCUUCUAGAUGUGUUUGCUUUCUACAAUUGUGUGCAGGGUUUGUAAUUAUUAAAUUCAAGAUUUCUUCUUUUCAAAGUGAUAGAGCAUAUCCCUUUUUCAACCGGGCGAGAGGGAGCGAGAGAGAGAUCGUCACGUACAUAUUGUGUCCCACUCCGAUUUUGCUCACCAAUGUGUUCCUCCACGCUGCAGCAGCCGACUCCGUCGAUGUCGUGCUCGUUUACCAGCCAUGCAUUCCAGACAAGUUGAAUGCCGGUGGCAACAGACAUUCAACGGCACCCUCGUCGGCGCUCUCCUCGCAGGACCCCGCCUCCCACGCUGGACCUCCUUGCUGCCCGCACAACGCUAUUACUCCACGCACGCAUGGCCAAACUUCCUCAUAGGGGUGCGUAGGUGUGUCGUUCCUGCAGACCUAUUUUUUGGUGCUGCGUCGACAUGCUAGGCCACGCUUCAUCUUCGACUGGCUCAACCUCCACGGCACGGCGCAGCCGCGCAGGCUACAGUCCGCCCAAGCGCCGGGAUGUGCAAGGCGUUCUGGGGCGUGUGUACGCCGACUAAUGUGACUUUCUGCUUUACUCAGCGAGCAAUCCUAGGGAUUUCUUUUUUUUUUGGAAUUCAUUAUACAUUUCUGUUUUUGAUUUAAUUUUAGGGCCUCAUGUGCAUAUAUCUGUUGCAGAUUGGUGAAGAUAAAGUUGCCGAUGUGGUGCUCCUGCUCACCUCAGAUGCAAUUCAAAAUUAUGUUGAUUUAUGUUCCUCUGUGUUACAGUUUAUUCUGGUUUUUAGAAAUACUAUUUUUUUUUAGUAAGGACAGUGACUAUUCUUAUUUUGACAAAGAGUGUGGUAGAUGAACAUGUCUUCAUUUUCUGGACCGCUCAAUAUUAUGUGAUAUUGUACUGGCAAGUAACGAGGAGAUUGUUGAUGUGCGAUUCUAGAUUCUUGAGAGAAAUACUAAUUUUUUUUAGUAAGGACAGUGACUAUUCUUAUUUUGACAAAGAGUGUGGUAGAUGAACAUGUCUUCGUUUUCUGGACCGCUCAAUAUUAUGUGAUAUUGUACUGGCAAGUAACGAGGAGAUUGUUGAUGUGCGAUUCUAGAUUCUUGAGUGAAUACUACCAUGUUAUUUUAAGGCCAGUUGUCACUUAUAAUAGAAGCUCAAUAAUGCACUUACUCUACCACCAAAUUCAAAUUAUUGAAAGAUCAAUCCAACAUUAAUUUGCCUCAAAUACAGUCUGAUGCAUUUUCCUUAACAUGACACUCUUUUUAGAGUGAUAACCUUCAUUUCAGGUUGCCGGCAUUCCAAAGAAACUUCAAGAUUGCAAGACAAUGAAAGCGUAAUUAUAUAUUUUUUGCAGUGGCAAGGUGAAAUUGUAUAAAAGAGACAAAGAAGAGUUGCUUCAUGUCCUUAAUCAUCGGUGUGCACCAACGCAGAAAAAGUGUGUGGAGACUAUGCCAGUGGAGAGACCAACGACGAUUACCUUGAGAUAGUGGGAUGUGCAUGGAAGGAGCGACUAACAAUGUAGAGGAAAGCUGCGCUCGCCGGCACCGGUCAGGGUCCUAAAUGAUUGAGGAGUAAAAUUAGAUCAUGGCCUUUCAUGUUUGAAGGGAUAUAGUAUUAUGAUAACUCUCAAAAAUCAAUAUUGUAUAAUGACAGAAGUUAAUAAUCUAAAUCAGCAGGAGCAAGCUUUGGAUGAGUGUAUAUACUAGCGACAUGUGCGGAAAGCUAAGCGGGUUAAUGGAAGAUGAGAAUGGUCGAAGAGUUGCGGUGACGGUGUCAACCAUGAUGUUAUAGGGAGAUGCACUAUUGGAUGCCAUUCUAUUUGCUCCAUGUGCAAUUUGGUAAAAUUGAUUCAUGUUUUAAAUUCAAAAGUUAUGUUCUUUCAUGUUGUAAACUGCAUCCUAUAGUUAUUCAUGCAUUUUUGUCUACGCGAUGACACGUAUAAAAUGCAUUGUCAAUGUUUAGACGAUGGUGGUAUAAGAAGAAAAUAAACUGCUGUUUUUUAUCCUCGACAAGAUAUUUUGGGUCCUCUUUCUGUGCUAGCAUCUUUUCUUUUGGAAUGGGAUAGUUAAUGGUGCUCUUAUAAAAAAUUUGUUGUCUCCCUUCAUUCCGAAAUAUAAGCCCUUUUAGAGAUUUCAAUAAGGACUACAUACGGAUGUAUAAGCUUCGUAUGUAGUCCAUAUUGGAAUCUCUAGAAAGGCUUAUAUUUAGGAACGGAGGGAGUACAAGAAAAACAACUGCAGCCACCUUUUUUUAGUUACUCUAUUCCAAGGUUGGUACUAGAAGAUUUCAGAAGGAAAAUGAAUGCAAAACAAACUAUGGAGAAAGUAAUAUGUGCAAUAUACCAAACUGGAGGAAGAAGUACAAAUCAAGAUAAGAACAUUACAUCAGUGGUGGUUUGAAAGUGGCAAAAGCGGGGAGGAAGGUAAAAUAAGAAAUGUAGAAGAGCUCUCUUAUAUUGCCUACAAGCAAGUUGAUUAGUGCUCUUGUAUUUUCAAGAAGGAGAAGAGAAUUACUGGAAAAAAACAAAAUGGAAAUGACCUGAAGGAGGAACUUUGAAGGUAAACUGUGAUGGGCUUUCUUUUCUGGAAAUAGUAAUGGUGGCUAGGGAUCUAUCAUUAGAGACGAUGAAAGAGAUGAUAUCGCAUGUACGAUGGGUAAAACUCUGAAUAUACUACGUCACUUGCAUGUUGAGAUUGUGUCGGCUCACAAAUGAGCACAAUUAGUUGUGACUGCUAAGUAAAGUUGAGGUAUAAGCAAUAUUAGUUUUGAGACUGGCGGGUGUGGAACAUGAAGGGAAAGAUCUCUCUUGAGGUCUGCAUUUCUAUGCUGGAUGUGAAGGAGUUUCUCUACUAAAACUUACAGUUUUAAAACUUGUGUACUCCAGUAGAGAUUGUAAUAAAGUAGCACAUUCCCUAACCGCCCUGGGUUGUAGUUUAAAUAUAGAAGCAAGCGUUGUAAUGGACCAUGAUGUAUCUGUUGUAACUGAACAAGUGUCGUGCCACUUAGUUGUGACGUACUCCCUCCGUACCUAAA